UGAACUGCAGGACACAUGAACACCGACACGUUGAACGCAUAUGGCGCAUCGGACGUUUAGACCCGACCGAUGUACACAUUCUUGAGU
RNAcentral lists this ribosomal RNA (87 nucleotides) under Anopheles minimus. RNAcentral's name for it is "partial 5.8S ribosomal RNA". Lineage: Eukaryota; Metazoa; Arthropoda; Insecta; Diptera; Culicidae. The record is from RNAcentral.